AAAACAUCGCCUUUUGAAUAAAUAUAAAAGGUCCAGCCUGCCCAGUGACACUGUUCAACGGCCGCGGUAUCCUAACCGUGCGAAGGUAGCGUAAUCACUUGUUCUUUAAAUAAGGACUAGUAUGAAUGGCACCACGAGGGUUAUACUGUCUCCUUUUUCUAAUCAGUGAAACUAAUCUCCCCGUGAAGAAGCGAGGAUGAAUUUAUAAGACGAGAAGACCCUAUGGAGCUUUAAACUAAAUAACAAUUGCUAUUUCACUUUAUCUUUAUAAACAACUACUAUACUAGCACUCUGAUUAUUAGUUUUAGGUUGGGGCGACCGCGGAGUAAAAACCAACCUCCACACUGAAAGGAUUACUUUCCUUAGCUAAGAGCUACAUCUCUAAACAUCAAAAAACUGACAUUAAUUGACCCAUUUAUUGAUCAACGAACCAAGUUACCCUAGGGAUAACAGCGCAAUCUACUUCAAGAGCUCCUAUCGACAAGUAGGUUUACGACCUCGAUGUUGGAUCAGGGUAUCCCAGUGGUGCAGCCGCUACUAAAGGUUCGUUUGUUCAACGAUUAAAACCCUACGUGAUCU
RNAcentral lists this ribosomal RNA (579 nucleotides) under Melanophryniscus sp. ACC-2014. Its description in RNAcentral is "partial 16S ribosomal RNA". It matches the Rfam family "Bacterial large subunit ribosomal RNA", at positions 1810 to 2606 of the family's 2925-position model. Lineage: Eukaryota; Metazoa; Chordata; Amphibia; Anura; Bufonidae. The record is from RNAcentral.